Molecule: non-coding RNA, 53 nt
Filed under: Trypanosoma lewisi
Lineage: Eukaryota; Euglenozoa; Kinetoplastea; Trypanosomatida; Trypanosomatidae
Source: RNAcentral
AUAUAUAAAUAAUCAAACGGACGAGCAGAACUGAGAAUAAGAAAAUUGAUAAA